GAAAGAUAUCAUGGCUGUCUCAUCGUUCAGACAGCCUUCUUUCAGGAUCACAGAAGAAUGAGCUGGGACCACCAUUGCUGCUGCUAUUCCAGUUGCUCCCCUGCUCUGCGGAACUGGCGCUGCAGGAGACAAGGAUGCUCCAGCCAGCGAGGGCUCAGUGAGUCAGGAGGGGCUGUGACGACUGCAGCAGGAGUUGAACCCCCCCCUGGAAUCCAGCAGGAAAGGAGGGGAGACGAGGAAGGUGCCCCCGAGGAGCUCGCGGUGCAGCUCGUGCUUAAGCACCGCCUAAGGAAGAGGAAAAGAAGGAAGGAAAGGAAGAAAUAAAAGCCCCGAAGCCAAGCAGUUUCCGUGGUGGAGCUUGGCAGCUCUGACACGUCAUCGUGACAACGACACAGCAAAGCGAAACCUUCCCGGCGCCGGCGCGGGGCAGGCAGGAGGCGGGGACCCAACCCGGGGACCGAACCCGUGGCAGCAGACAGACCGCGCCGCGGGGCCGGACCGGGCCGGGAGCCCCCGGCACUUUGAGACGAGCGCAGCCAACAUUCGGAUUUGACACCAGGCUCUCGGCCAAUCCGAGAAGGCUUUUCACCUGCCAUCGCUUCCUCCGCCAAUCAGACGGCGUGUUUGGGCUGAGAACCCUCCCCGGCCAAUCGGGAGCCGGCUGAGCCACUUAGUUAAUGAUGCAGCAGUACAGGGAAGACUAUCACAUGUGAGCUGGAAGGCUGCCAACAUGGAGACACGGAGAGAGCAAGGUAAACAACUUUCCAACGCCAAAAUGAUGACAUUUAAUCCCUAAAUGCUAGCUUCCCGUCUCGACUCAUCCUUAACCCCUUUCAGCUGGUGUGGAAGCGUCUGGAAGGCACCGUGUACCUGUCCCCAGUGCUUUUAAAAACUGGCCGACGUGCCCUGCAAUGAUCACUGCGUCACCGUUUGCCACUUUCUGAACUACGCAGUGACAAAGCCCUUAUCCCAGCUCACAGGGUGGCUGUUAACCCCUGCACCCAGCCCUGCCUCCACGCCAGCCCUCAGGGGGACGGCAGGGAAUAAAAAGCCUGAGCAAAACA
This 1064-nucleotide long non-coding RNA is filed under the name Chrysolophus pictus (golden pheasant). RNAcentral's name for it is "lncRNA (ENSCPIG00010001278.1)". Lineage: Eukaryota; Metazoa; Chordata; Aves; Galliformes; Phasianidae. The record is from RNAcentral.